This 377-nucleotide ribosomal RNA is filed under the name uncultured Verrucomicrobiota bacterium. Its description in RNAcentral is "bacterial SSU rRNA". It matches the Rfam family "Bacterial small subunit ribosomal RNA", at positions 521 to 896 of the family's 1533-position model. Lineage: Bacteria; Pseudomonadati; Verrucomicrobiota. The record is from RNAcentral.
UAAUACAGAGGUCCCAAGCGUUGUUCGGAUUCACUGGGCGUAAAGAGUGCGUAGGUGGCCUAUUAAGUUUGAUGUGAAAUCUCCGAGCUCAACUCGGAAACUGCAUUGGAUACUGGUAAGCUAGAGGGUCGGAGGGGAGACUGGAAUUCUUGGUGUAGCAGUGAAAUGCGUAGAUAUCAAGAGGAACACCAAUGGCGAAGGCAAGUCUCUGGACGACCCCUGACACUGAGGCACGAAAGCUAGGGGAGCAAACAGGAUUAGAUACCCUGGUAGUCCUAGCCGUAAACGGUGCACACUUGCUAUAAGAGGAAUCGACCCCUUUUGCGGCGAAGCUAACGCGUUAAGUGUGCCGCCUGGGGAGUACGGUCGCAAGAUUA